This 374-nucleotide transfer-messenger RNA is filed under the name Bacteroidia bacterium. It matches the Rfam family "transfer-messenger RNA". From Rfam's summary of the family: Bacterial tmRNA, also known as 10Sa RNA or SsrA, is named for its dual tRNA and mRNA-like properties. Its role is to liberate the mRNA from a stalled ribosome. The record is from RNAcentral. Lineage: Bacteria; Pseudomonadati; Bacteroidota; Bacteroidia.
GGGGCUGUUCUGGCUUUUGACGGGUUGGCCAAUAGAUGUGUAAGCACGUAGAGCGUUGAAGGUACGGCUCUUAAAUCUCGACUUUCAAAACACAACCGGCGAAAACAACUUCGCAAUGGCUGCCUAGUCUUAGAGACUAUAGCAAUACCAUCCGCUUGCCCAAGUCAUGUCUCGGAUACGAGGAAUCACAAGCGGUCGAUAAUCUGAGAUAAUUUUAGCCCAUUUCUAUCAAGUUAAAAUUUAUUGCGUAGGAUAAGGGUAGAUUGGGUUUGUAAUGCAGCUGAUUUACUUCGAAAAAUAAGCAUAACUAAACGUGAAGAAAACGCAACUCUAUUCCGAUUCGGACCCGAGUUCGACUCUCGGCAGCUCCACAA